AGGGCGGCCAUCGCGACUGAUUGGUCCAAGUUCCGGACCUCCAGCAUCGCGACGUUGAAACGGUUGAUGUAGGCCCGAAUGGACUCCCCUUCCCUCUGCUUGAUGUUGAUGAGGGACUCCGAACCCUUCGAGGGGCGCCGACUGUUGACGAAAUGGGCCACAAAUUGGUGGCUCAUUUGAUCGAAGGAAAAGAUGGUACCCGAUUUCAAAGCCGAGUACCAGUUCCUCGCCGCUCCCUUCAAGGUGGACGGGAAGGCCCGGCAGAGGAUGGCAUCAGGAGCACCGUGAAGCAGCAUCAUCGUCCGGAAGGCCUCCAGAUGAUCAACCGGGUCCGAAGUCCCGUCGUAGCUCUCGAACUGGGGAAGCUUGAAGUUUGACGGGAUCGGUUCC
Molecule: long non-coding RNA, 390 nt
Filed under: Elaeis guineensis (African oil palm)
Lineage: Eukaryota; Viridiplantae; Streptophyta; Magnoliopsida; Arecales; Arecaceae
Description: long non-coding RNA (EGUI_LNC027852)
Source: RNAcentral